RNAcentral lists this ribosomal RNA (433 nucleotides) under uncultured bacterium. Its description in RNAcentral is "partial 16S ribosomal RNA". It matches the Rfam family "Bacterial small subunit ribosomal RNA", at positions 29 to 507 of the family's 1533-position model. The record is from RNAcentral.
AACGAACGCUGGCGGCAUGCCUAACACAUGCAAGUCGAACGAGACCUUCGGGUCUAGUGGCGCACGGGUGCGUAACGCGUGGGAACCUGCCCUUAGGUUCGGAAUAACUCCCCGAAAGGGGUGCUAAUACCGGAUAAUGUCUUCGGACCAAAGAUUUAUCGCCUUUGGAUGGGCCCGCGUUGGAUUAGCUAGUUGGUAGGGUAAAAGCCUACCAAGGCGACGAUCCAUAGCUGGUCUGAGAGGAUGAUCAGCCACACUUGGACUGAGACACGGCCCAGACUCCUACGGGAGGCAGCAGUGGGGAAUAUUGGACAAUGGGCGAAAGCCUGAUCCAGCAAUGCCGGGUGAGUGAUGAAGGCCUUAGGGUUGUAAAGCUCUUUUACCCGGGAUGAUAAUGACAGUACCGGGAGAAUAAGCUCCGGCUAACUCCGUG